GAAUACUUGUUGUUUACAGAAAGCAAGAUCAAAGAAGCUGAUGAUAUACUUCAAGUUGAGAGUUGCAAAGUUUAUGGAAGCUCUGUGUUAGGAUGUACAUGAUGCAGGCUUUGGCACUCCAGGAAAGCAUCAUUUCAAGCUGAGCACAGUUUUACCCUUGAAUAAAAAAGUCCACUGUGUAUCCACAGUUAUUUGCUAAGGCAAAAUUUUUGUGGAAGUUCCUUCUCUGGAAGCUUCUGUUUCUAGAAAUGACAAUUCAACACCAGCUUCUCAGCACUACCUUAGUGGUUGUAUCCAUGCCGUGGCAGAAUAGGAAGAGCUUCUGGAACUGACCAAGGUCGUGAGAGGGUUGGGACACUCCAGGUUCAAUGUAAUCUCACUGGGCACCAACA
RNAcentral lists this long non-coding RNA (392 nucleotides) under Anser brachyrhynchus (Pink-footed goose). Its description in RNAcentral is "lncRNA (ENSABRG00000014204.1)". The record is from RNAcentral. Lineage: Eukaryota; Metazoa; Chordata; Aves; Anseriformes; Anatidae.